AGAGCGAACGCUGGCGGCAGGCCUAACACAUGCAAGUCGAACGGACUCUUCGGAGUUAGUGGCGGACGGGUGAGUAACACGUGGGAACGUGCCUUUAGGCUCGGAAUAGCUCCUGGAAACGGGUGGUAAUGCCGAAUGUGCCCUUCGGGGGAAAGAUUUAUCGCCUUUAGAGCGGCCCGCGUCUGAUUAGCUAGUUGGUGAGGUAAAGGCUCACCAAGGCUACGAUCAGUAGCUGGUCUGAGAGGAUGACCAGCCACAUUGGGACUGAGACACGGCCCAAACUCCUACGGGAGGCAGCAGUGGGGAAUCUUGCGCAAUGGGCGAAAGCCUGACGCAGCCAUGCCGCGUGAAUGAUGAAGGUCUUAGGAUUGUAAAAUUCUUUCAGUAGGGACGAUAAUGACGUACCUACAAGAAGAAGCCCGGACUAACUUCGUAGCCAGCAGCCGAC
RNAcentral lists this ribosomal RNA (448 nucleotides) under uncultured soil bacterium. RNAcentral describes it as "bacterial SSU rRNA". It matches the Rfam family "Bacterial small subunit ribosomal RNA", at positions 26 to 518 of the family's 1533-position model. The record is from RNAcentral.